UUACGUGAGUACUGUUGUGGAAUCUCUCUCGAUGUAGUCAUACAAAUCGUCCAAAAUACCAACACACAAAACAGUGUAAUUUUCAUUUUUGAAAAUUAUAAAGACACGAGAAGUAUUAACUGGGCAAACAGUUAAUGUCUUGUUUUUGCUCGUCGUAUGUUAUAUAUGUCUGUAGAACUCUAUCCUGUCUAUCACUAGGUUUUUAGAACUUCUGUUUUAUAUACCCCAGAACCAUUCACCCGUGCGCUCGUAUUUUCCCGAAACUCUCGUGACCAUAUAAUCAUGACGUAGUGGGUGACUUUAACACAUAAACAAAGGUUCAUUUAUCGAGAUAUAGUAUGUCAUCGACAAC
Molecule: long non-coding RNA, 352 nt
Filed under: Mytilus galloprovincialis (Mediterranean mussel)
Lineage: Eukaryota; Metazoa; Mollusca; Bivalvia; Mytilida; Mytilidae
Source: RNAcentral